Molecule: long non-coding RNA, 958 nt
Organism: Podarcis raffonei (Aeolian wall lizard)
Lineage: Eukaryota; Metazoa; Chordata; Lepidosauria; Squamata; Lacertidae
Exons: 2
Source: RefSeq, a predicted model, not a curated record
AUCCUGCGGUUGGUGGUGGGUUAAGCCAAUAAGUUAUAUUUUCACAUUUAAAAAAAAAAUAGAUUCAUCCUUCUGCCCCAUGGGUCUAAAUUAUCUUUGUAAAGAAACUUGUUUCCCUCCACAACCAAUACUUUAUUGUUGCUCAUACCUUCUUACAGAUAGAGCUAUUUUCCCUUACCUGUCCAGCGGUGGAGGCUGGCAGAUCCAAACACCACCUCUACCACCAUCUUCCCAACAAACUGCAGAAGGGCUAGUUACUCUGCAAAGUUUCCUGGAGGUAAUUCAGCAACUGUCUGCAGGCAGCCCACUCAGACUUACAGGUGUACUUGCAGAUCUUUGCUGUAGCUUUAAAAACUCAGAAGGGAGGCAGUUUUGCAGUGCUUUCUCCCUAGUGCUGAAACAUGUUUUUUGCCAGCUCUUCUGACAUAUUUAUAGGCAAACAAAGCUUGGGUGACAGUGUACGGGAUACCUGGACAUAUUGUCAUUUGAGGUUACUUGCUGUUUUUUUCUCAGAACUACCAUCUUGAUCAAGUUGGAAGUCCAGGUCUAGCACUGGUGGAAGAAAUAAGUCGACCAAAUUACAGAGUGAAGCCAGUAACAGCCCUCAAAUUCAUUCUUCUUCUUCGAACACCUGUGAAUCUUCUUGCAGUUCAGCUACAGCACCGUUGUGGUUAAAGAAGACCAGCCUCUGAAGCUGUUGUGUUAAUAUGCAAUUGAAACUCUUAAAAGGCUGUGGCUACCUCAGUCCCACGUCGUACACCAACCUUAACAAAUUCACGAGGGAAUUUAUCUAGCUGCUCAUAUGCCAGCCGUCCAUCUUCUCCUGAGCAGAGAAAAAUGAGAAGCAAGGCAAAUGUUGCAUGAAGGCAGAGGUUCUCCAGGCCACACUUUCAGAAUAAAAAUAUGCUUGUGCCACACCAAUUUUUUGAAAAUUGAUAAAUACUUUGGGAAACAAGAA